RNAcentral lists this ribosomal RNA (465 nucleotides) under Vreelandella stevensii. RNAcentral's name for it is "partial 16S ribosomal RNA". It matches the Rfam family "Bacterial small subunit ribosomal RNA", at positions 338 to 795 of the family's 1533-position model. Lineage: Bacteria; Pseudomonadati; Pseudomonadota; Gammaproteobacteria; Oceanospirillales; Halomonadaceae. The record is from RNAcentral.
CCUACGGGAGGCUGCAGUGGGGAAUAUUGGACAAUGGGGGGAACCCUGAUCCAGCCAUGCCGCGUGUGUGAAGAAGGCCCUCGGGUUGUAAAGCACUUUCAGUGAGGAAGAACGCCUGGUGGUUAAUACCCAUCAGGAAAGACAUCACUCACAGAAGAAUCACCGGCUAACUCCGUGCCAGCAGCCGCGGUAAUACGGAGGGUGCGAGCGUUAAUCGGAAUUACUGGGCGUAAAGCGCGCGUAGGUGGCUUGAUAAGCCGGUUGUGAAAGCCCCGGGCUCAACCUGGGAACGGCAUCCGGAACUGUCAAGCUAGAGUGCAGGAGAGGAAGGUAGAAUUCCCGGUGUAGCGGUGAAAUGCGUAGAGAUCGGGAGGAAUACCAGUGGCGAAGGCGGCCUUCUGGACUGACACUGACACUGAGGUGCGAAAGCGUGGGUAGCAAACAGGAUUAGAUACCCCAGUAGUC